GGAUGCGAUCAUACCAGCACUAAAGCACCGGAUCCCAUCAGAACUCCGAAGUUAAGCGUGCUUGGGCGAGAGUAGUACUAGGAUGGGUGACCUCCUGGGAAGUCCUCGUAUUGCAUCCC
Molecule: ribosomal RNA, 119 nt
Filed under: Oryza sativa Indica Group (long-grained rice)
Lineage: Eukaryota; Viridiplantae; Streptophyta; Magnoliopsida; Poales; Poaceae
Source: RNAcentral